RNAcentral lists this ribosomal RNA (629 nucleotides) under Curtisella hansoni. Its description in RNAcentral is "eukaryotic LSU rRNA". It matches the Rfam family "Eukaryotic large subunit ribosomal RNA", at positions 420 to 798 of the family's 3401-position model. Lineage: Eukaryota; Metazoa; Arthropoda; Insecta; Hymenoptera; Braconidae. The record is from RNAcentral.
CCUGAGAAACCCAAAAGAUCGAAUGGGGAGAUUCAGCGUCAGCUCACUUUGUAUAUGUAUGAGUUAUGAUGCGAGUUACUCUUGUAGUAUUGCUUGCACAUACUUGUAUAUUUAUUUGCAAGGUGUUGUCGGCGUGCACUUCUCCCCUAGUAGGACGUCGCGACCCGUUGGGUGUCGGUCUAUGGCCCAAGUGGUAGCCUUUAAUGUUUAACAACUUUAAAGACCCUUGGUGUUUUCUGACCGGCUACCCGACGGUACUCGUACGGUAUUUAGCCGCAUUUAAUGUGCGUCCAUAUCCGUCGCAAGCGAGGCUAGUUUCUGGUAGUACGGACUUUGUGCCGUCGCUGGAGCUCGCCAGCUGUUGGCUGUAACGGUACUCUAGGACUGGCUAAAAAUUAUUUACCGGUCGGCGAUGCUACUGCUUUGGGUACUUUCAGGACCCGUCUUGAAACACGGACCAAGGAGUCUAACAUGUGCGCGAGUCAUUGGGAUUUUUUUUAAAUUAAACCUAAAGGCGUAAUGAAAGUAAAGGUCGUCCUUGCGUCGAUCGAGGGAGGAUAAGUUGUGUUAAGAUACAGCUUCGCACUCCCGGGGCGUCUCAUUCUCAUUGUGAGAAGAGGCGCACCUAG